Long non-coding RNA from Triticum aestivum (bread wheat), 4797 nucleotides. RefSeq lists it as uncharacterized. Lineage: Eukaryota; Viridiplantae; Streptophyta; Magnoliopsida; Poales; Poaceae. The transcript has 4 exons. The record is from RefSeq and is a predicted model, not a curated record.
UCAACUGGCCAUCUCCUCUUCGCGGAAGCCAUGCCGAGGCCACGACUGCGGAUGAGCACCCAUGCAGGCUGCCGGUGCCCCGCGCCACCGGAUCCUCCCCCAGCGUCGUCGUUCGACGCACCGCCGCGGCGCCGUUCCGCUUCUGCCGCCACAGCCAUCUCCACGACGCUGUGGCAGACCUCCUCUCGGUACUCCACAUUGAAGGCUGGGCCGAGCUGCCGCUGCCUGGUUCACCUGUGUGCGCCGCCCGCAUCCCGUUAACUGUCGCAGCGCUGCCAUCGGCAUGCUUCGCUGCCCUCCACCGCACUCCUGGUUGCCACCGACGACGAUCCCAUGGUGGUGACGACAUGCAGCCUAUCCCUGCUGCGUGCCCGACGCCGACGUCGAUUGUCGCCGCCAGCGGUGGCUGGAGUUGGAGGCGGGAAAAAGGAGAAGCCGCGGAGGAGGAAAAGGGAGAGGGAAGAGUAGAGAGAGGUCAUAUGUUACCGGCGGCUGCCUCUCAAUUAUUUUUCGCACGGUGAGGCUCUCGAUCAGGCUCUAUCGCCUCCGUGCUGGAUUUCUCUCUCGGGUUGUGUAUAGUAGCGAAGAGAAAGAAGAAGGAAGUGAUGCGAGAGGCCCGACGGAAUGCGCCAGCCAGAGGACCGCGGUCGUGGCAACCCGUAGCCUUACCUCCAGCGGAGCGCCUAAGAUUCUUCUUCUGCUCGCUGGCCAGCUGCAACCUGAAACGGUGCCCUCCUCUCCAUGUCGGAGCUCCUCCUCCUUUAAUCCGGUGUGUUGGAGUCUUGGAGAUGUUACAUCUGCGGUCGGCGGCCAAGGAGCUCUUGAUGCGCGGCGUCAGCGGCAGGAGCCGUGUGCGUCCCCCUUGACCACGCAAAGAGCAUAACCAGUGGGAGGCAAGUCGUGGGAGAUGGACAGGGACGGGCGGACUAGCCUGCGUGCGGGACCCUGUGCUAUGUUUGCUGAGGCGAAUACUAGCGACGCUGCAGCCGCACGGGAUGGAACGGCGGUUCCCAUACGCGGACCGGAGGCGACGCUAUUGCUGCUGUUGGCGGCGGCGUCCCCAGGCGCCAGAGGUCCUCCAUCCUCCGCCCUCCCGGGGACGAGAUAAGCCGCGGUGCAUUCAUCCAUGCUUCACCCCUUCCGACCCAUCUCGGACGGGGCCACACUGUAGUACCAGCCAGUCGCGACGAGACCGGCAACGCCUCCGCGUGCGGCAGCGCCCUUUCAAGGCCCAGUUAGUGUUCGCCGCAGGUGCCAUCACCGAGCGUACGUGCUCUCCAUCAACAAGAGCACGGACAGCAGCACGUACAACAGGCCACUGUGCUGUUCGUCCUUCAAGGUUAGCUGCAGGAUUAUCCGGCAGAAACCAGUAAUGUACUCGCGGGCUACUUCGAUAUGAAGGACAGACAGUCGUUUGCACUUUGCAGGCCGUGUGCUGUUUGCUAGCUGCUUCCACCAGGUGUCAGAGAUCAACACAAAGAUUGAGACGGUGUACUCUCUCUCUCUCUCUCUCUUGUUGUUUUUUGACGUAUUUCUUCGGUACGUGUUUCAUGCAUGCAGCUGACGUGUUACUCUGUUUGACGUCUUCUAUUUGCAUGCAGCUGACAAGAUAUUACAUCUUUCAAAUUUCAUGCCGGACUUUAUUCUUUUGCGUCGGUAAUUCAAUUUAUUUUCUUAACUUGGCUGCUUACAUAAUGGUGAAAGGGUGCACUAAACUUAUUGUUUCACAUUUUAUUUUAUCCAUGCAAAACUCCAUGUAUUAAUACGAUUUGAUUUGGGGAUGUUUUGCUCCAUCAUCAGUUAGCAGACAAGUCUUCUCAACAUAAUGAAUUGGGGAUGUUUUUUGAUGUAAUUCCAGUUUGAGUUAAAGUUCCGGUCUCUAUAUUGAGAAGGUACAACGAGGUUGACCUUAGAUGGUUGUCUUGAAAUAGUCCCUAGUAAUUACCUAUGUGUUCGGUCCCAUUAAACAAACCAAGUAAACGUAUCCAUUUGCAUGCCACUGCAAACCCAAAAGAGAUGAUGUCCAAACUAGAAACCAAUCAAACAGUCCAAAAUUUAACACAUGAGUCUUCAUUUAUCACGUAUGUAAUCUAUCAACAUGAAGUAUUCACAAAAUUUUAUAUAAUUUCAUCAUCAACACAAAUUCGGCUCACGGUCGAACAUGGAUGCGAUGAAUUAUUGAAGAAUCACAAUUUUAUCAUGCAAUAUCAAUAUGUAUUCCCUUUAUCUACAAUGCGUCGAUUCUUUUUAUGCAAUAAUGAUUUUAUUUAUGGAAGAUUUCAGUACAUUGCAGUAUAAAAAAUAAUUUUGAAUCAGCAACAAUUAAAAUAAUUAAUAAAAUUGUUAACAGUUAAAGUUUAAUAUAACCCUAUGUAUCAACAGGAGCGGCAUGCUGUAUACAACCUUAUUAGUAAUGUAUAAGUGUGUACACUUCCAUUAUCAGUAUGUAUCAUCAUGCCUGCAAUAAAUGUCUCUUUUUUCAUCUUUUACAACUGGACUCAUCGUAUAUACUCUUUAUGCGUGUUAUCCAUGGACGAUUCUAUCGUUACAAAUAUAAUAAUAUAAUGCCCUUUUGCGAUCCGUGUAACAACAACGUAUCGACGAGCGUGGCGUGUUGCCGCGCGGGCUAUGCUAGGACUUAGGGUUUAGGGUACACGUUUUGGUGCGCGUACUGAUUGCUGUUGGAAAUCAUAAAAAAUUGAAUCUUUAUCUGCCCAUUGGCUGCAUGUUCCGGUUGUUCCUCAGUUCGUGAUUGGUUGCAUGUGUUAUCUGCAUGGAGAGAUCGAAACUGAUUUUCCCUUCAAAUCGAGUCGGCCGUCGCCCGCACCUUCUGGGUUUCUUCCGCUGUCGGUUGCCGCUUUGCUGUAGUUUUCUGGGCCCUUCUACAGCAUGUGCGCUGGUCGUUUUCGAUUUGUGCUCUUCCCCUCUGCUGCCUCCUAUAAAUAAUGCCUUCCCCGUCCGUCGGUUCGUCAUUCCAUCUGCUCCCAUCUCCUCUCUCUCCUUUUCUAACUAGUGAGUAUUUAGGAUUUGUUGUGCCGGCGAUGGUUGCUCCUGCUCCUGUUCGGUCUGGACGUCGUCGCCGGGGUCGUCCUCCAGGGAUUCGAGCGGCCGUUAUUGCCCGUGUGCGCCGUGCGGGCAUGCCUGUUUCUUCUGCCGAUUUUCAUUCGGGUCGGCGGCCACUGCUGUGCAUGAUCAGCUGGGUGGAGUCGAUUCAGGAUGGCUUCUCCGCUUCGCGGCUCACCGGCUGCUCCAUUCCCGCCGGACUGGCCACCAGCGUUCUAACUCGGAGCAGUUUCGUAAUGGAGAUCUUGAUGCUCGCCGUCGGGAGACUUUGUUGGGGAAGCGACCUGUUGAUGCACUGUUGGUUCGACCAUUACUGCUGGUUCUUCUUCCGCAUUUGAUGGCUUCGUAUCUGCUGCUCGGCCCUCCAUUGCGCGAACUGGUGAGUUAUUGUUUCUUUUCUCUGCUUAUUUUCUGUCCAUGUUGUUAUCUCUCUUGGCCAGUGCUUCUGCGGCCUUCUACUGGUUGCACGUGCCGCUGCUGGCCCAAUCGGUGUGCAAAAGGCACCAGCGUGUGGGCCCCAGCGCAUGACACGAUAGCAUGCACAGUCAGGCGAUGAAGGGUAUCGACAUAUACUGGAAUGGAAGCACACGGGGGCAUGCAGUGUACGCAUGCACUCGAACGAAAUACAUCGAUGCAUGCAGUGUACGCGUGCAAUCCGAUGAGAAUUCGCUGUCACAUGCAGUGCACGCAUGCAACCCGAUGAAUAUACGCCGCUGCAUGCAGUGGACUCAUGCAACCCGUUGAAUAUACCCCGCCGCAUGCAGUGCACGCAUGCACUUCGAUGAAAAUACCUCGCUGCAUGCAGUGCAUGUAUGCACUUCAGUAAUGCUAACUGAGUACACCACAAUGGACGAAGCUUAUCAUCGCCAGAGAGCGUCCUCCAUAGCAAAGCAAGUUAAGAGAGGAAGGGUAAACAUCCAGCCCUAAAUUUUAAUCAUGGAAGCGGAAGUACCUCGGAUGAGAAUCUUAUAGUGUAUAUUCCAAGACGACCAAUGCUUGAAACAGUGAGUGAAACAAUUGGCCUAAAAGUACAAGGCUACACCUGUCGGUACGUUCAUGAAGGUAUGAUACAAGUGUCUGUACUGAUUGCUCUGCCAUGCCGGAAAGAUAGCUUCAGAGAAUCCUCCAUUACAUAUGAAGGAGAAGCAGCUAAUACAGAAGAUGAAGCAAUGGAAAAGGCAGCUCAGGUGGCCUUCGAAUGCAUCUGUGCAGACUAUAAUAUUUCCACCAAUGAUCAUAAUUACUAUGCUCUUGAAGUCACAAAGGAAAGGUUAUUUACAGCAAGAGAGAAGGCUCAAACAAAGCAAUGGCAGUUCAAUAUGGCCCGCCAGCAAGUAAGCACAUAGCAAAACGAGUUUGCAACACAGACAAUGAUUCUGGCAAAGAUAUGCAAUGGCUUCUUUGAUUUAUUACCACUUCGUAUGUAUCCCCAGCGCCUAGACAACGACGAUCCCAUUAUCACAUAUACAGGCGCGCACCCUCUCGUCGGACGUAUGCAAAAACUUGCAAAAUCACUUUAUCAUUUUAUCACAGGCACCAAUCCUGCAGGAGGAUAUAAUAGGAUGAUCUAAUCCACUAGCAACUACUUCUAGCUUAUCUAUGUAAUGUGUUUGUGUUUUUAUAUACAGUACUCUGUUUGUAGCGAACUGUAUGUAUUUUGAAUAAUUUGUUUGCCCCAGGAGUGUGCCACUUUUAAUUUGUAUCUUUGUAUCUCUACAUUUGCAAUAUUUCAAU